RNAcentral lists this transfer-messenger RNA (415 nucleotides) under Candidatus Sumerlaeaceae. RNAcentral's name for it is "JAIBAT01 sp019695055 Standard tmRNA". It matches the Rfam family "transfer-messenger RNA". From Rfam's summary of the family: Bacterial tmRNA, also known as 10Sa RNA or SsrA, is named for its dual tRNA and mRNA-like properties. Its role is to liberate the mRNA from a stalled ribosome. To accomplish this part of the tmRNA is used as a reading frame that ends in a translation stop signal. The record is from RNAcentral. Lineage: Bacteria; Candidatus Sumerlaeota; Candidatus Sumerlaeia; Candidatus Sumerlaeales. RNAcentral also lists the same sequence under 1 other name.
GGGGGCGUACCGGUUUCGACGGGGAUCGUUGUGGGAGAGGCUGCAAGCCGAGGCGCACGUUACCUCGUUAAUCCGCGUGCACUGCAAAAGUAACUGCAGACAACAAUCUUGCUCUCGCUGCCUAAGCUUAGCUUAGGUUAGCGACGUCCGCCGCAACGCUGCCUGCGCGUUGCGGGUCGGGCGUCAUCCUGCAGGCUCGUUGGGAUGCGUGGCCCGCGCACCCCGACUAAAAAUAGGGCUGGUCAGCACGGCGCGCCCGCCAAACGGCGUGCUUAUUGUUGGCGAGACACGAGGUCACGGCUGUAAGGCGGCUCGCCGCCUUAAAAGCAGGAACUCUUAAAUGGUUUGGCUAAGCUUGUAGAUGCGGCUCUGGCAAGUUCUUCGGACGUGGGUUCGACUCCCACCGCCUCCACCA